CGCGUCCAAGCAGUUAGGCUGGGAAAUAGGCAAAUCCGUUUCCCGUGAAGGCUGAGCUGUGAUGGCGAGCGAAUUAUAGUAGCGAAGUUCCUGAUUCCACACUGCCAAGAAAAGCCUCUAGCGAGGGGAGAGGUGCCCGUACCGCAAACCGACACAGGUAGGCGAGGAGAGAAUCCUAAGGUGAUCGAGAGAACUCUCGUUAAGGAACUCGGCAAAAUGACCCCGUAACUUCGGGAGAAGGGGUGCUCUGUUAGGGUGCAAGCCCGAGAGAGCCGCAGUGAAUAGGCCCAGGCGACUGUUUAGCAA
This 306-nucleotide ribosomal RNA is filed under the name Bacillus velezensis. RNAcentral's name for it is "bacterial LSU rRNA". It matches the Rfam family "Bacterial large subunit ribosomal RNA", at positions 1507 to 1810 of the family's 2925-position model. Lineage: Bacteria; Bacillati; Bacillota; Bacilli; Caryophanales; Bacillaceae. The record is from RNAcentral.